RNAcentral lists this ribosomal RNA (1459 nucleotides) under 'Primula acaulis' yellows phytoplasma. RNAcentral describes it as "bacterial SSU rRNA". It matches the Rfam family "Bacterial small subunit ribosomal RNA". The record is from RNAcentral. Lineage: Bacteria; Bacillati; Mycoplasmatota; Mollicutes; Acholeplasmatales; Acholeplasmataceae.
AGCAAUUAAACUUUAGUGGCGAACGGGUGAGUAACGCGUAAGCAAUCUGCCCCUAAGACGAGGAUAACAGUUGGAAACGACUGCUAAGACUGGAUAGGAGACAAGARGGCAUCUUCUUGUUUUUAAAAGACCUAGCAAUAGGUAUGCUUAGGGAGGAGCUUGCGUCACAUUAGUUAGUUGGUGGGGUAAAGGCCUACCAAGACUAUGAUGUGUAGCCGGGCUGAGAGGUUGAACGGCCACAUUGGGACUGAGACACGGCCCAAACUCCUACGGGAGGCAGCAGUAGGGAAUUUUCGGCAAUGGAGGAAACUCUGACCGAGCAACGCCGCGUGAACGAUGAAGUAUUUCGGUACGUAAAGUUCUUUUAUUAGGGAAGAAUAAAUGAUGGAAAAAUCAUUCUGACGGUACCUAAUGAAUAAGCCCCGGCUAACUAUGUGCCAGCAGCCGCGGUAAUACAUAGGGGGCAAGCGUUAUCCGGAAUUAUUGGGCGUAAAGGGUGCGUAGGCGGUUAAAUAAGUUUAUGGUCUAAGUGCAAUGCUCAACAUUGUGAUGCUAUAAAAACUGUUUAGCUAGAGUAAGAUAGAGGCAAGUGGAAUUCCAUGUGUAGUGGUAAAAUGCGUAAAUAUAUGGAGGAACACCAGUAGCGAAGGCGGCUUGCUGGGUCUUUACUGACGCUGAGGCACGAAAGCGUGGGGAGCAAACAGGAUUAGAUACCCUGGUAGUCCACGCCGUAAACGAUGAGUACUAAACGUUGGGUAAAACCAGUGUUGAAGUUAACACAUUAAGUACUCCGCCUGAGUAGUACGUACGCAAGUAUGAAACUUAAAGGAAUUGACGGGACUCCGCACAAGCGGUGGAUCAUGUUGUUUAAUUCGAAGGUACCCGAAAAACCUCACCAGGUCUUGACAUGCUUCUGCAAAGCUGUAGAAACACAGUGGAGGUUAUCAGUUGCACAGGUGGUGCAUGGUUGUCGUCAGCUCGUGUCGUGAGAUGUUGGGUUAAGUCCCGCAACGAGCGCAACCCUUAUUGUUAGUUACCAGCACGUAAUGGUGGGGACUUUAGCAAGACUGCCAGUGAUAAAUUGGAGGAAGGUGGGGACGACGUCAAAUCAUCAUGCCCCUUAUGACCUGGGCUACAAACGUGAUACAAUGGCUGUUACAAAGGGUAGCUGAAGCGCAAGUUUUUGGCGAAUCUCAAAAAAACAGUCUCAGUUCGGAUUGAAGUCUGCAACUCGACUUCAUGAAGUUGGAAUCGCUAGUAAUCGCGAAUCAGCAUGUCGCGGUGAAUACGUUCUCGGGGUUUGUACACACCGCCCGUCAAACCACGAAAGUUGGYAAUACCCAAAGCCGGUGGCCUAACUUCGCAAGAAGAGGGAACCGUCUAAGGUAGGGUCGAUGAUUGGGGUUAAGUCGUAACAAGGUAUCCCUACCGGAAGGUGGGGAUGGAUCACCUCCUUUCU